This 484-nucleotide ribosomal RNA is filed under the name uncultured bacterium. Its description in RNAcentral is "partial 16S ribosomal RNA". It matches the Rfam family "Bacterial small subunit ribosomal RNA", at positions 29 to 507 of the family's 1533-position model. The record is from RNAcentral.
AUUGAACGCUGGCGGCAUGCUUUACACAUGCAAGUCGAACGGCAGCGCGGGCUUCGGCCUGGCGGCGAGUGGCGAACGGGUGAGUAAUACAUCGGAACGUGCCCAGUAGUGGGGGAUAGCUCGGCGAAAGCCGGAUUAAUACCGCAUACGACCUGAGGGUGAAAGCGGGGGAUCUUCGGACCUCGCGCUAUUGGAGCGGCCGAUGGCAGAUUAGCUAGUUGGUGGGGUAAAGGCCUACCAAGGCGACGAUCUGUAGCUGGUCUGAGAGGACGACCAGCCACACUGGGACUGAGACACGGCCCAGACUCCUACGGGAGGCAGCAGUGGGGAAUUUUGGACACUGGGCGAAAGCCUGAUCCAGCAAUGCCGCGUGUGUGAUGAAGGCCUUCGGGUUGUAAAGCACUUUUGGCGGGAACGAAAAGGACUGUGCCAAUACCACGGUUCGAUGACGGUACCCGCAGAAUAAGCACCGGCUAACUACGUG